This is a regulatory RNA element of 98 nucleotides. It matches the Rfam family "TPP riboswitch aptamer (THI element)". Rfam says of the family: Vitamin B(1) in its active form thiamin pyrophosphate (TPP) is an essential coenzyme that is synthesised by coupling of pyrimidine and thiazole moieties in bacteria. The record is from Rfam.
UUUUCACACUAGGGGCGCCAAUAGGCUGAGACGAUUAAAUUCGAACCCUUGAACCUGAUCUGGAUGAUACCAGCGGAGGAAAGUGUUGGAACCCUAAU